AGAGUUUGAUCAUGGCUCAGGAUGAACGCUGGCGGCGUGCCUAACACAUGCAAGUCGAGCGAACCCCUUCGGGGGAGAGCGGCGGACGGGUGAGUAACGCGUGGGUAACCUACCCUGUACACACGGAUAACAUACCGAAAGGUUUACUAAUACGUGAUGACAUAUCAGACAGGCAUCUGUUUGAUAUCAAAGGUCAGCUGGUACAGGAUGGACCCGCGUCUGAUUAGCUAGUUGGUGAGAUAAAAGCUCACCAAGGCGACGAUCAGUAGCCGACCUGAGAGGGUGAUCGGCCACAUUGGAACUGAGACACGGUCCAAACUCCUACGGGAGGCAGCAGUGGGGAAUAUUGCACAAUGGGCGAAAGCCUGAUGCAGCAACGCCGCGUGAGUGAUGAAGGUUUUCGGAUCGUAAAACUCUGUCCUCAAGGAAGAUAAUGACGGUACUUGAGGAGGAAGCCCCGGCUAACUACGUGCCAGCAGCCGCGGUA
RNAcentral lists this ribosomal RNA (487 nucleotides) under uncultured Bacillota bacterium. Its description in RNAcentral is "bacterial SSU rRNA". It matches the Rfam family "Bacterial small subunit ribosomal RNA", at positions 8 to 522 of the family's 1533-position model. The record is from RNAcentral. Lineage: Bacteria; Bacillati; Bacillota.